AGGAGUAGUAGCAUAGCAGAUGGAAC
Molecule: non-coding RNA, 26 nt
Filed under: Homo sapiens (human)
Lineage: Eukaryota; Metazoa; Chordata; Mammalia; Primates; Hominidae
Source: RNAcentral